ACACCUACGGGACGCAGCAGUGAGGAAUAUUGGUCAAUGGGCGGAAGCCUGAACCAGCCAAGUCGCGUGAGGGAAUAAGGCCCUACGGGUCGUAAACCUCUUUUGCCGGGGAGCAAGGGCCGGGACGCGUCCCGGCCCGGAGAGUACCCGGAGAAAAAGCAUCGGCUAACUCCGUGCCAGCAGCCGCGGUAAUACGUAGGUGGCAAGCGUUAUCCGGAUUUACUGGGUGUAAAGGGCGAGUAGGCGGGACUGCAAGUCAGAUGUGAAAACUAUGGGCUCAACCGAUA
This 287-nucleotide ribosomal RNA is filed under the name uncultured bacterium. RNAcentral's name for it is "partial 16S ribosomal RNA". It matches the Rfam family "Bacterial small subunit ribosomal RNA", at positions 335 to 618 of the family's 1533-position model. The record is from RNAcentral.